Molecule: ribosomal RNA, 505 nt
Filed under: uncultured bacterium
Lineage: Bacteria
Description: bacterial SSU rRNA
Rfam family: Bacterial small subunit ribosomal RNA
Source: RNAcentral
AACGAACGCUGGCGGUGCGCCUAACACAUGCAAGUCGAACGGGGUUGCAGUGUGAAACUUGCUUCGGCAGGUGGAACGCUGUAACUUAGUGGCGAACGGGUGAGUAACACAUAGGUAACCAACCCUAAGGAUCGGGAUACCCCCGAGAAAUCGGGCUCAAUACCGAAUAUUAUCCCAGGGAAUAAUUUUCUGGGAUGAAAGCUCCGAGCAAUCGUGGCACCUGAGGAUGGGCCUGUGGCCUAUCAGCUAGUUGGUGAGGUAACGGCCCACCAAGGCUAAGACGGGUAGCCGGACUGAGAGGUCGAUCGGCCACACUGGAACUGAGACACGGUCCAGACUCCUACGGGAGGCAGCAGUGAGGAAUUUUGCGCAAUGGGCGAAAGCCUGACGCAGCGACACCGCGUGGAGGAAGAAGGCCCUUGGGUUGUAAACUCCUGUCAGAGGUGAAGAAUGUCCCCUCGGGGAUUUGACGGUAACCUCAGAGGAAGCCCCGGCUAACUACGUG